GGAAGGAUGGUCCAGUGGUUAGGGCAUUCACCUGCCAUUUGGGAGACCUGGGCUCAAGUCCCAGCUCUACCA
RNAcentral lists this transfer RNA (72 nucleotides) under Chelonia mydas (Green sea turtle). It matches the Rfam family "tRNA". Rfam says of the family: Transfer RNA (tRNA) molecules are approximately 80 nucleotides in length. Their secondary structure includes four short double-helical elements and three loops (D, anti-codon, and T loops). Lineage: Eukaryota; Metazoa; Chordata; Testudines; Cheloniidae. The record is from Rfam by way of RNAcentral.